Long non-coding RNA from Drosophila persimilis, 209 nucleotides. RefSeq lists it as uncharacterized. The transcript has 3 exons. Lineage: Eukaryota; Metazoa; Arthropoda; Insecta; Diptera; Drosophilidae. The record is from RefSeq and is a predicted model, not a curated record.
UCAGUGUCCCAUCAACCAGCUUUGCAUCGGCCGCCCUGCUCUGCGAUGGCCGUGCCUCGGAUAUUUUCGCGCACCGAACCAAAAAUCGAGCUUUAAUGGCUCCAUCGAAGAAAUUAAAGAACCUGCCGGCUAUGCCAUAUGAGGUGCAACGCGACCAAGCUGCGGAUGAAGAUGGAGCGAAAGACUAUGGAUGAGUAUGCCAGGCUACU